UACUAAUGUGUGUAGCCUUUAGGCCUGAUAUGUCAGCCGCAUGGAUGGCAAUGUGCAAUAACCUAGCCUAGACACACUGAUCUAUCAGUUUUGGACAUCAAAUAAUAUUUUUUCUUUUGUUAAUUUUGUGUCUUAGUAAGGUAGUAGCCUAUACGUUUGUGAUGUAGUAGAGGUUGUGAGAGGAUGAAUGUGGCAUUUUGUUAAAUUUAUGGGCAACACAGUUAAAUGUAGCCUAUAGGCAGUCCAGUUGACCAAUAACAUGGCUGUUUGAAUUUGAAAUGGAGUGGGCGGAUCUGUGCACCUUUCGAGCAAAACGUGGUGUGAGCAAACAUUAACGUUAUUUUAUACAGUCUAUGCUUGUAACUUUAUUUGCAAGGCAGAUGGACUGUAGAGACCAGAAAAUGCAUACGUUUACGGUCCGUAUAAGGUUACAGGUUUGUCCAAAUUAAAGAUACCAUGAAUUCUAGUCAUGCCAGAGACGUUGGUCCUACAGAGCCAGAAGGACUCGUCAUAUGAGAUAACAAGGGCUGAAGCCAGUUGUAUCUAAAGUGCCAAGUUAUUCGUCAUCAGGUGUUCCUGGACAGUUUUGAAACCGAAAUGUCUGAACGCCUCAAAUAAUCAGCAGUAAAGACAACAGAGACAAAUUCUCUAAUACCAAGGUCAAUGCAUUUGACUGCUGUCCAGCCCGGGUUGCCACCGAAAACUUUAUGCAUCUUGGACUGGAAGAUGGUGUGCUAGUAAGGAAGCUAGCUACCACAGCUUUUGCCACCACAUCUCAGUGUUGAGGGAAGUUCACUCACUGCACAACUCUACCAGCUGUACCUUUCCUCCUCAUUUCCUCCGCCAUGAUCCGUAACCACCAUGGUUUUCUUUCUGGGCCAGAAGACUUUGCAAACAAAUAAGCAAUAAAUGAUCAUGCAUUACAAAUUUAGCCAUGUUAGACUGUUAAGUUGUUGGCUUGUAGGCUGGGUGUCCAGUAAACAAUUUCAAGCUUAGAGGGCAAAUUCUCUCACCUAGGAGGGUAAACAACUUUUGUUUUUCAUGAAAUCUGCAUUUUGAAUUGAUGGUCUACCAAUGAGGCUGUAGAGUAUCGCGACACAAUAGUGGCAAAAAGCACUUGCGCUAUAAAACAUGCAUUCGGGUGUAUUGUAUUAUAUAUUAUUUCACACACGUAUAUAUUAAAUGCGUGCGCGCAAAUUCUCUCUGCGCGUGCGCACUCAGAGGAAACUGCUCCCCAAGCAUGGAAGAAAAUGCUGCGAGCAAGGAGGAAUCUGACCAGCGCUCCAAACAGCCACUCGAAAAAUCUAUGCAUGUGAAAUAAAUCAUAAGCCCAAAUGCAUGUUUUAUCGUGUUACCACAUCCAACUUGAAAAGAUAUGCUCAAGAGAUCCAUAACUUUCAGGAAAAUGUUUUACUUUUUUU
Alosa sapidissima (American shad) is the source of this 1421-nucleotide long non-coding RNA. RefSeq lists it as uncharacterized. The record is from RefSeq and is a predicted model, not a curated record. The transcript is spliced from 3 exons. NCBI's taxonomy places the organism in Eukaryota, Metazoa, Chordata, Actinopteri, Clupeiformes, Clupeidae.